GUACGCCAUAGCGAAGGAGUGAGAUGGUUUGCUGAAAGCAGCCCUUCCAUCGCACACGUCUUGCUAAGUCUACUGAACUCCUCCUAUGCACUACCAAGAUUACAUGCUUGGAAAAGUGGCUUCCUGGGGAGUAUUUGGAAAAGGCACCCCCGAUGUGUACCUUUCCCACGGAAAAAAAGAGACUAACAUACCAAUAAACAGUAGCGGUGAAAAUGAAUGUUAAAUGUAGGAGACAGACCCUAAGUCAAAAAGCGAAAGACCUUCUGUUGGAUUGAACCAUGAAGAGCGCUUCAUUCAAGCUUUCUACGUCUUCAGCCCCAGAAAAGCUGAGAGUUCCACUGGGGCAUGCGGGAUUUGCAUUCCAUUCCCCAAGUUCGCAAGAAAAGAAAGGGAAAUAAAAAGUGACAUAAGAGGCACCACCUGAAAGUGGAUAGCAGCAGCUCUAUAACCUUGCUCUGAGAUACCCCUGAGGGACGAGGAGGAAGGGAAAUCCUUUCAGUGAGCAGAAAUUUAACAAAUGUACCCUGCUGCCCAUUUUGCCUGGAAUGAAAGAUGUCCAGAGCUAGCCCUGUCAUUGCCUAAUGGAGUAUGAACAAAGGGGCCAUGGUGGCAGAGAUGGAGGCUGUGUACAUAGGCUCAGCAACAUGGACUUCCACUCGAAAAGGCUGAACUGGCUAUAACCACUGCUGAGAGACCAAUCUGCCAGCAGCAGAGACCAACACUGAGUCCCUGAUAUGGCACCAUUUUCCUAGGAUACAACAAGAAGACAGCCAUUUGCAAACUAGGAAGUGGGCUCACACAAGACACCAGAUCUGCCAGUGCUUUGAUUUUGGACUCCCAUCCUCCAGAACUGUGAGAAAUAAAUGUUUGUUGUUUCAGCCACCCACCCUAUGGUAAUUUGUUGUAGAAGUCAGAACUGACCAACACAAAUACCCUUUUAAAGACUCAGCUAUGACACCGAUUAGGAGGCAAUAUCUAGUAAAAUUUUACUUCUCAUCUCCUUGAUCUUAGACUGCUGUUCUAGAGGUCUCAGUUCCAAAGGAAAGAAUGCUUCCACCAAGGGUGGUUAAUACUGAUUACCAAGGGGAAAUUGGACUGCUACCCCACAAUGGAGGUAAAGAAGACUAUGUCUGGAAUAUAAGUGAUACCUUAGGGAGUUUCUUAGAACUGCCAUCUUCUGUGAUUAAACCCAAUGAAAAACUUCAAUAAUCUAAUUCAGGCAGGACUGCUAAUAGCUGACACUUAUCAGAAAUGGAUUUUUAGGUUACUCCAGCAGACAAAGCACCAUGACCAAUCGAAAUGCUUUCUGAAGGCAAGUGGAAUAUGUAAUGAUUAAUAUAAGGAGGUACUUAUAAAUACCAGCUAUAACCAUGUGGCCAGUUUCAGAAAUUAGGACUCUAAUAGUUAUUUCUUUAUUUUGUUAUGAAUAUGUGUAUAUACAAAUUUUUUUCUUCCC
Molecule: long non-coding RNA, 1456 nt
Filed under: Equus caballus (horse)
Lineage: Eukaryota; Metazoa; Chordata; Mammalia; Perissodactyla; Equidae
Description: lncRNA (ENSECAG00000050325.1)
Source: RNAcentral